GGAGAGGUGCUGGAGUGGCCUAUCAGGCACGCCUGGAGAGCGUGAGUAGCCGCAAGGUUACCGUGGGUUCGAAUCCCACCCUCUCCGCCA
Molecule: transfer RNA, 90 nt
Filed under: Dehalococcoidales bacterium
Lineage: Bacteria; Bacillati; Chloroflexota; Dehalococcoidia; Dehalococcoidales
Description: tRNA-Ser
Rfam family: tRNA
About the family: Transfer RNA (tRNA) molecules are approximately 80 nucleotides in length.
Source: RNAcentral